This 484-nucleotide ribosomal RNA is filed under the name uncultured bacterium. RNAcentral describes it as "bacterial SSU rRNA". It matches the Rfam family "Bacterial small subunit ribosomal RNA", at positions 30 to 507 of the family's 1533-position model. The record is from RNAcentral.
AUUGAACGCUGGCGGCAUGCCUUACACAUGCAAGUCGAACGGCAGCACGGGAGCAAUCCUGGUGGCGAGUGGCGAACGGGUGAGUAAUGUAUCGGAACGUACCUUUCAGUGGGGGAUAACGUAGCGAAAGUUACGCUAAUACCGCAUAUUCUGUGAGCAGGAAAGCAGGGGAUCGCAAGACCUUGCGCUGAUUGAGCGGCCGAUAUCAGAUUAGCUAGUUGGUGAGGUAAAGGCUCACCAAGGCGACGAUCCGUAGCUGGUCUGAGAGGGCGACCAGCCACACUGGAACUGAGACACGGUCCAGACUCCUACGGGAGGCAGCAGUGGGGAAUUUUGGACAAUGGGGGCAACCCUGAUCCAGCCAUUCCGCGUGAGUGAAGAAGGCCUUCGGGUUGUAAAGCUCUUUCGGCCGGGAAGAAAUCGUAUGGGCUAAUACCCUGUGCGGAUGACGGUACCGGCAUAAGAAGCACCGGCUAACUACGUG